AAAGAGUUAGUUAAAUUAUAAUAUUAAAAUGUCAUUUUAAAGUUAUUAGAAAUUAAUAUUCUUUG
Molecule: transfer RNA, 65 nt
Filed under: Chrysis corusca
Lineage: Eukaryota; Metazoa; Arthropoda; Insecta; Hymenoptera; Chrysididae
Description: tRNA-Asp
Source: RNAcentral